GGUUUUUUGUUUAUAUAAAAAAUCUGGCCUGCUCAGUGAAUUUUUAAAUAGCUGCAGUAUUUUGACUGUACAAAGGUAGCAUAAUCACUUGUCUUUUAAUUGAGGUCUGGAAUGAAUGGUUUGAUGAAGGAAAUACUUUAUUUAUUUUUAAUAGAAAAUUUAAUUUUUAAGUUAAAAAGCUUCAAAAUAUUUUUAUAGGACGAGAAGACCCUAUAGAACUUUAUUUAUAUGCUUUUAUAUUUUUUCUAGAUUAUGAUAUUUUUGUAAAAGCAUAUAAAUUUUGUUGGGGUGAUAGAAAAAAUAUCAUAACUUUUUUUAAUUUUUACAUUAAUUAAUGUAUUUUUGAUCCUUUUUUUGGAAAAAAGAAAAAGUUACCUUAGGGAUAACAGCGUUAUUAUUUCGGAGAGUUCAUAUUGAUGGAAUAGUUUGCGACCUCGAUGUUGGAUUAAAAUAAGAUAUGGAAGUAGAAUGUCAUAUUCUGGGUCUGUUCGACCUUUAAAUUUUUACAU
This 509-nucleotide ribosomal RNA is filed under the name Orthotylinae gen. ZANCGEN5 sp. Msp307. RNAcentral's name for it is "partial large subunit ribosomal RNA". The stretch from base 382 to 509 matches the Rfam family "Bacterial large subunit ribosomal RNA", at positions 2473 to 2601 of the family's 2925-position model. Lineage: Eukaryota; Metazoa; Arthropoda; Insecta; Hemiptera; Miridae. The record is from RNAcentral.